GAGCACUGCUGCUCAUAUUGACAUUCCCACUCCUAGACCACCAGAAUAAUUUUCUCGUUUAAUAAAACGACCUGCAUUUCUUUCUUCAAUCUCUUUCUCCAGCGAUCAAGUCAGAAGUUUAGACCAACUAAAUCAAGAAUAAGCUUAGUAAUUUACUGGCGUUGUUGUUCAGGUCAGUAAGCAAUGCCAACCCAACAACUAAUAAAAACGAAUGUUUGUGAAGAUCAAGUGCACCCCAUCUACAUAUAGAGGAUUCAGCUGUGCUGGAACAUGUUCACAAUGGAGACACACGGAGAGAGAGACACACAGAGAGAGAGACACAGGGAGAGAGACAGAGAGAAAGACAAGGAGAGCGAGAAAAAGGGGAGCGGGAUACAGAAUGGGGAGGUACACAGUGAAGAGAAUCGUAGGAGGUGACGGAAGCCGUUGGCACCAGCCAGUGGGUGAAUCCUGAACGGGCCCCUACUGGUAACAGCCCUGUGCUCUCCCUCCUGACCACAGCCCCUGGCGCAGGAAAUAGGGAGCCAUUUGUGACGCAGGGAAC
Esox lucius (northern pike) is the source of this 544-nucleotide long non-coding RNA. The record is from Ensembl. Lineage: Eukaryota; Metazoa; Chordata; Actinopteri; Esociformes; Esocidae.